CUGGAUUGUAGUACAUUCCCAUUAAAUGCAAGUGUUGACUGAGAGAGAGAGAGAGAGAGAGAGAGAUCACGGUCAUACAGAGCGUAGCAGAGAAACCCAGCGACUGCCUUCAAAAGUCAGGAAAGAUGAGCAGGUUUCACAACUAAGAUGUAACAAAAGACAAACCUUUUCUACCUUUUUUUGUUGUUUUCACCUGUUCUUGUCCCUCUAGAUCCUCAUGACAGUACACCCUCAGGUUUAAUCAAAUCAACCACUCCCCCCCCGUCAGUUCUCAGCUCACUAAUCUUUUCAGGCUCAUUUACUCUCUCUUUCUCUCUCUGUCAACAAGUCAUUGAAGUGUUUUUCCCUUCCUUCUUUUCCUUUUUUUUUUUCUGUUUAUGGAAACACUAACUCUGUAC
Long non-coding RNA from Rhodamnia argentea, 398 nucleotides. RefSeq lists it as uncharacterized. Lineage: Eukaryota; Viridiplantae; Streptophyta; Magnoliopsida; Myrtales; Myrtaceae. The record is from RefSeq and is a predicted model, not a curated record. The transcript is spliced from 2 exons.